Molecule: ribosomal RNA, 253 nt
Filed under: uncultured bacterium
Lineage: Bacteria
Description: partial 16S ribosomal RNA
Rfam family: Bacterial small subunit ribosomal RNA
Source: RNAcentral
UACGUAGGGGGCUAGCGUUGUCCGGAAUCAUUGGGCGUAAAGCGCGCGUAGGCGGAUCGGCAAGUUGGGGGUGAAAUCCCGGGGCUCAACCCCGGAAUGGCCUUCAAAACUCCCGGUCUUGAGUUCGAGAGAGGUGAGUGGAAUUCCGAGUGUAGAGGUGAAAUUCGUAGAUAUUCGGAGGAACACCAGUGGCGAAGGCGGCUCACUGGCGCGAUACUGACGCUGAGGUGCGAAAGCGUGGGGAGCAAACAGG